RNAcentral lists this ribosomal RNA (402 nucleotides) under uncultured bacterium. RNAcentral's name for it is "partial 16S ribosomal RNA". It matches the Rfam family "Bacterial small subunit ribosomal RNA", at positions 28 to 526 of the family's 1533-position model. The record is from RNAcentral.
GACGAACGCUGGCGGCGUGCCUAAUACAUGCAAGUCGAACGCAGUGGGGACGGGUGAGUAACACGUGGGUAACCUCCCAUCAGAGGGGAUAACACGUGGAAACAGGUGCUAAACCGAUAUUGAUGGAUGGACCCGCGGGGAUUUAGCUAGUUGGUGGCGGAACGGCUCACCAAGGCCACGAUGCAUAGCCGACCUAUGAGGGUAGUCGGCCACACUGGGCGUGAGCCACGGCCCAGAUCCCUACGGGGGGAAGGUGUAGGGAAUGUUCGGCAAUGUACGAAAGUCUGACCGAGCCACGCCGCGUGAGUGAAGAAGGUUGUGGGUUCGUAAAUCUCUGUUGUUAGAGAAGCGGUAUCUAACCAGAAGGCCACGGCUAACUACGUGCCAGCAGCGCGGUAAUUC